GAUGAACGCUAGCGGGAGGCCUAACACAUGCAAGCCGAGCGGUAGAGUUUCUUCGGAAACUUUAGAGCGGCGCACGGGUGCGUAACACGUGUGCAACCUACCUUUAUCUGGGGGAUAGCCUUUCGAAAGGAGGAUUAAUACCCCAUAAUAUAAUGAUUGGCAUCAAUUAUUAUUGAAAACUCCGGUGGAUAGAGAUGGGCACUCGCAAGAUUAGAUAGUUGGUGAGGUAACGGCUCACCAAGUCAAUGAUCUUUAGGGGUCCUGAGAGGGAGAUCCCCCACACUGGUACUGAGACACGGACCAGACUCCUACGGGAGGCAGCAGAGAGGAAUAUUGGACAAUGGGUGAGAGCCUGAUCCAGCCAUCCCGCGUGAAGGAUGACGGUCCUAUGGAUGGUAAACUUCUUUUGUACAGGGAUAAACCUACCCUCGUGAGGGUAGCUGAAGGUACUGUACGAAUAAGCACCGGCUAACUCCGUG
RNAcentral lists this ribosomal RNA (479 nucleotides) under uncultured bacterium. RNAcentral's name for it is "partial 16S ribosomal RNA". It matches the Rfam family "Bacterial small subunit ribosomal RNA", at positions 28 to 507 of the family's 1533-position model. The record is from RNAcentral.